UCAGGACGAACGCUGGCGGCGUGCCUAAUACAUGCAAGUCGAGCGGACAGAUGGGAGCUUGCUCCCUGAUGUUAGCGGCGGACGGGUGAGUAACACGUGGGUAACCUGCCUGUAAGACUGGGAUAACUCCGGGAAACCGGGGCUAAUACCGGAUGGUUGUUUGAACCGCAUGGUUCAAACAUAAAAGGUGGCUUCGGCUACCACUUACAGAUGGACCCGCGGCGCAUUAGCUAGUUGGUGAGGUAACGGCUCACCAAGGCAACGAUGCGUAGCCGACCUGAGAGGGUGAUCGGCCACACUGGGACUGAGACACGGCCCAGACUCCUACGGGAGGCAGCAGUAGGGAAUCUUCCGCAAUGGACGAAAGUCUGACGGAGCAACGCCGCGUGAGUGAUGAAGGUUUUCGGAUCGUAAAGCUCUGUUGUUAGGGAAGAACAAGUACCGUUCGAAUAGGGCGGUACCUUGACGGUACCUAACCAGAAAGCCACGGCUAACUACGUGCCAGCAGCCGCGGUAAUACGUAGGUGGCAAGCGUUGUCCGGAAUUAUUGGGCGUAAAGGGCUCGCAGGCGGUUUCUUAAGUCUGAUGUGAAAGCCCCCGGCUCAACCGGGGAGGGUCAUUGGAAACUGGGGAACUUGAGUGCAGAAGAGGAGAGUGGAAUUCCACGUGUAGCGGUGAAAUGCGUAGAGAUGUGGAGGAACACCAGUGGCGAAGGCGACUCUCUGGUCUGUAACUGACGCUGAGGAGCGAAAGCGUGGGGAGCGAACAGGAUUAGAUACCCUGGUAGUCCACGCCGUAAACGAUGAGUGCUAAGUGUUAGGGGGUUUCCGCCCCUUAGUGCUGCAGCUAACGCAUAAGCA
RNAcentral lists this ribosomal RNA (860 nucleotides) under bacterium. Its description in RNAcentral is "bacterial SSU rRNA". It matches the Rfam family "Bacterial small subunit ribosomal RNA", at positions 24 to 866 of the family's 1533-position model. The record is from RNAcentral.